This 140-nucleotide ribosomal RNA is filed under the name Juniperus sabina. RNAcentral describes it as "partial 28S ribosomal RNA". It matches the Rfam family "Eukaryotic large subunit ribosomal RNA", at positions 1 to 141 of the family's 3401-position model. RNAcentral also lists the same sequence under 2 other names. Lineage: Eukaryota; Viridiplantae; Streptophyta; Pinopsida; Cupressales; Cupressaceae. The record is from RNAcentral.
CGUCCCCAAGUCAGGCGUGAAUACCCGCUGAGUUUAAGCAUAUCACUAAGCGGAGGAAAAGAAACUUACCAGGAUUCCCCUAGUAACGGCGAGCGAACCGGGAAGAGCCCAGCAUGAAAAUCGACGGCCCCGCCUGUCGA